UACAGAGGGUGCUAGCGUUGUUCGGAAUCAUUGGGCGUAAAGGGCGUGUAGGCGGUUUGCUAAGUCAUGUGUGAAAUCCCUCGGCUCAACCGGGGAACGACGCAUGAAACUGGCAAGCUAGAGUACCAAAGAGGGGGGUGGAAUUCCAGGUGUAGCGGUGAAAUGCGUAGAUAUCUGGAGGAACACCGGUGGCGAAGGCGGCAUCCUGGACCGGUAUUGACGCUGAGGCGCGAAAGCUAGGGGAGCAAACGGG
This 253-nucleotide ribosomal RNA is filed under the name uncultured bacterium. RNAcentral describes it as "partial 16S ribosomal RNA". It matches the Rfam family "Bacterial small subunit ribosomal RNA", at positions 524 to 776 of the family's 1533-position model. The record is from RNAcentral.